This 255-nucleotide unclassified non-coding RNA is filed under the name Hevea brasiliensis (rubber tree). The record is from RNAcentral. Lineage: Eukaryota; Viridiplantae; Streptophyta; Magnoliopsida; Malpighiales; Euphorbiaceae.
CGGGUUAACGGGUCCUCCAACACGGUUCGGGUCAUGAUCACCGGAUUCAUCAGCAAACGUACGCCACUCAGACGUCUCAUCUAUUGACCUCGAUUCCAGUACAAGUCCACACUCCGAACAAACUGUAUCACCGGCGGCAUGGUCAAAUACCACCUCCGUGUUCCGUUUGCAGUCCGAACAGUACAAGUCACCCAUCCCACCUGACCUGACCCGACCCGAAUUAUGUGAAGCCGAAAUUGAGAAAAUUGACUUGAG